UUGACAGAAGAGAGUGAGCACACGGCGUGAUGGUCGGCAUGACAUAUAUCCCGUCCUCGCCGCGUGCUCACUCCUCUUUCUGUCAC
This 86-nucleotide microRNA precursor is filed under the name Leersia perrieri. RNAcentral's name for it is "pre miRNA mir-156". It matches the Rfam family "mir-156 microRNA precursor family". From Rfam's summary of the family: This family represents the plant microRNA (miRNA) precursor mir-156. The record is from Rfam by way of RNAcentral. Lineage: Eukaryota; Viridiplantae; Streptophyta; Magnoliopsida; Poales; Poaceae.